This 217-nucleotide unclassified non-coding RNA is filed under the name uncultured fungus. RNAcentral describes it as "partial contains 5.8S ribosomal RNA, internal transcribed spacer 2, and large subunit ribosomal RNA". The stretch from base 1 to 52 matches the Rfam family "5.8S ribosomal RNA", at positions 103 to 154 of the family's 154-position model. The record is from RNAcentral. Lineage: Eukaryota; Fungi.
AACGCAAAUUGCGCCCUUUGGUAUUCCGAAGGGCAUGCCUGUUUGAGUGUCUUAUAAACCUCACCCUAUUGUUUAUUCAAUAGCUGGUGCUUUGGGUGUUGCCGUCUGGCUCGCCUUAAAUGACUAAGUGGAAUGCGUAAUAAGUUCUCGCAACCCUCCACUCUAACACACUUUAUAUUCUGACCUCAAAUCAGGUAGGACUACCCGCUGAACUUAA